This 460-nucleotide ribosomal RNA is filed under the name uncultured bacterium. Its description in RNAcentral is "partial 16S ribosomal RNA". It matches the Rfam family "Bacterial small subunit ribosomal RNA", at positions 338 to 795 of the family's 1533-position model. The record is from RNAcentral.
UCUACGGGAGGCAGCAGUGAGGAAUAUUGGUCAAUGGGCGCGAGCCUGAACCAGCCAAGUAGCGUGAAGGAUGACUGCCCUACGGGUUGUAAACUUCUUUUAUAAAGGAAUAAAGUGAGGCACGUGUGCCUUUUUGUAUGUACUUUAUGCCUAAGGAUCGACUAACUCCGUGCCAGCAGCCGCGGUAAUAAGGAGGCUCCGAGCGUUAUCCGGAUUGAUUGGGUUUAAAGGGAGCGUAGAUGGGUUGUUAAGUCAGUUGUUAAAGUUUGCGGCUCAACCGGAAAAUUGCAAUUGAUACUGGCAGUCUUGAGUACAGUUGAGGUAGGCGGAAUUCGUGGUGUAGCGGUGAAAUGCUUAGAUAUCACGAAGAACUCCGAUUGCGAAGGCAGCUUACUAAACUGCCACUGACAUUGAUGCUCGAAAGUGUGGGUAUCAAACAGGAUUAGAUACCCUGGUAGUC